This 440-nucleotide ribosomal RNA is filed under the name uncultured bacterium. RNAcentral describes it as "partial 16S ribosomal RNA". It matches the Rfam family "Bacterial small subunit ribosomal RNA", at positions 338 to 795 of the family's 1533-position model. The record is from RNAcentral.
ACUACGGGUGGCAGCAGUGGGGAAUAUUGGGCAAUGGGGGGAACCCUGAUGCAGCGACGCCGCGUGGGUGAAGAAGCGCCUCGGCGCGUAAAGCCCUGUCAGCAGGGAAGAAAAUGACGGUACCUGAAGAAGAAGCCCCGGCUAACUACGUGCCAGCAGCCGCGGUAAUACGUAGGGGGCAAGCGUUAUCCGGAUUUACUGGGUGUAAAGGGGGCGCAGACGGCGAUGCAAGCCAGGAGUGAAAGCCCGGGGCCCAACCCCGGGACUGCUCUUGGAACUGCGUGGCUGGAGUGCAGGAGGGGCAGGCGGAAUUCCUGGUGUAGCGGUGAAAUGCGUAGAUAUCAGGAGGAACACCGGUGGCGAAGGCGGCCUGCUGGACUGCAACUGACGUUGAGGCCCGAAAGCGUGGGGAGCAAACAGGAUUAGAUACCCCAGUAGUC